This 34-nucleotide transfer RNA is filed under the name Dendrocygna arcuata (wandering whistling-duck). Its description in RNAcentral is "partial tRNA-Phe". The record is from RNAcentral. RNAcentral also lists the same sequence under 1 other name. Lineage: Eukaryota; Metazoa; Chordata; Aves; Anseriformes; Anatidae.
GUUGCCAAGAUGGCACACACAAUGCCUGAGGACA